Molecule: long non-coding RNA, 1414 nt
Organism: Felis catus (domestic cat)
Lineage: Eukaryota; Metazoa; Chordata; Mammalia; Carnivora; Felidae
Exons: 4
Source: RefSeq, a predicted model, not a curated record
GCGCUGCUUAGCUCACUGAGUCGGAUUGUUGUGGUGCUUGUAGGUGCGUAUGCGCAUGCGCGGGAGCGGUUAAAUGGCGUCACCCAGCCGCCCGGUCUGUAGUAUCUGAAUUCUGUUCUCCCCGAUCAGCAAUUGCACAUCCAUCCUUUGUCUCCGGCUUCCAUUCACUCCCUGUUUUUACACUGUGACCAAGCGCCAGGCAGCACUUCCCUCCUGAGUUCCGUCUCAGAUGCGGCUGUUUUUCCCGACCCCUCACUUCUGAGGGACUGCGGCUUUGACCCCUUCUGCUCCUCAGCUGGAGGGUCUCACCGAGCACUGGCCGGGUGCCGGCCGCACCCAGGAUCGUUCACAGGACCGGGCUGCUGCCGAUGCCCAGAGACUGCGGCUGGGUGCCGGCCCGCCCUAGAAAAUGUUCCCGGGAUCGUGUAGCAGCAGCGUUUCUGGGAUUUACGGGAUUUACAAAAACCACAACACACACCUGGCGCCAGGCUUCACCCUUAACGACCUCGUUCCAGCGCCAGCGAACGUGGUGGUUCUCCCGGGUCCGCUGGGGCCUUGCCUUUGGGGGCCCCACACAGCCUCUACCCGAUGUCCUCCCAGCAGGGGAACUGCCUCCCUCCGUGUGGCCCGAAGAACCCUGGACUCCGCUCUUGGGGAUUCGUCCUUCCCACCAGCGCACCACCAGGCUCUUCUGAUGAAUGAGAAGAAAUUGAUGGUGAGGCGUUUAGGGACCAAAACAAUGAUAAGACUUGUCAUUUGCCGAGUCUUAGCUUUGUGCCCAUUCCAUCCUCAGGGAGCAGCCUGCAUUACCGCCUCUAAUCGAUCCCCUGAGAGAUGCUCCUCCUGGGGCUGACGGAACACUGGUAAAAGAUACUGCAGAAGGGAUUCCCAGAGAAGGUGGGGAUGCCACUCAACGUCCUUCCCAACUCAACACAUGGGCAGAAGGGACUUUGAAGAAAAGCUAAGUGGUCAUAGAAGAGGUAACACGGUCAUAUUUGGAGAGGGCUUUACGGCUAAUUUUCACGAACAUCAUUUCCUGACGCGCUGAGUGAAUGCCAGUGGUAAGUAAUAGUGCAUUAUUGUUCAGUCCUUACCGUGCGGCUCAUAGGACUUGUCUCAUAUAAUCCUUGUAACAACUCUACGAAGUUGAUGCAGUUACUAUCCCCAUUUUACAGAUGAGGAAACUAGGGGGUGGAGAGGUUCAAGGUCACAUAGAUACUAAGUGGAUGAGCUGGGAUUUAAAAUCUGGCCAUCUGACUCUGCCCCAAAGGCUUAAAAGGACACCAAAUCACCUUGAGAAAAGUGCCCCAGCAGGUGAGGAGAGGGAAGCCCACUCCAAAGAGGCCUGGUCUAACAAAGAGUGUGCGAAGGAGGGAUCUGAGGUGGGUCUCAAAGGAUGUGGAGAGGUGAAGAG